CGCGGUAUUUUGACCGUGCAAAGGUAGCAUAAUAAUUAGUUUUUUAAUUGGAAGCUGGAAUGAAUGGUUGGACGAGAAAACUACUGUCUCUGAUUGAUUUUAAUAAAAAUUUAUUUUUAAGUAAAAAAGCUUAAAUUUUGAUUAAAGACGAGAAGACCCUAUAGAGUUUUAUAUAUAAACGAAUAUUUUAUUUUAUGUAUUUUUUGGUUGGUUUUUGUUUAUUUAUUUUAUUGGGGUGAUGAAAAGAUUUGAUUAACUCUUUUUUUAUUUAAACAUUAGUUUUUGAUUUUUUGAUCCAAUAUUUUUGAUUACAAGAUUAAAUUACCUUAGGGAUAACAGCGUAAUUUUUUUGGAGAGUUCAUAUCGAUAAAAGGGAUUGCGACCUCGAUGUUGGAUUAAAGUUAAUUUUUGGUGCAGAAUUUAAAAAAUUGAGUCUGUUCGACUUUUAAAACUUUACAUGAUCUGAGUUUAAACCG
RNAcentral lists this ribosomal RNA (476 nucleotides) under Hexanchorus virilis. Its description in RNAcentral is "partial 16S ribosomal RNA". It matches the Rfam family "Bacterial large subunit ribosomal RNA", at positions 1932 to 2618 of the family's 2925-position model. Lineage: Eukaryota; Metazoa; Arthropoda; Insecta; Coleoptera; Elmidae. The record is from RNAcentral.